Molecule: ribosomal RNA, 301 nt
Filed under: uncultured bacterium
Lineage: Bacteria
Description: partial 16S ribosomal RNA
Rfam family: Bacterial small subunit ribosomal RNA
Source: RNAcentral
CAGCCGCCACGGUAAUACGUAGGGUGCGAGCGUUAAUCGGAAUUACUGGGCGUAAAGCGUGCGCAGGCGGUUUUGUAAGACAGGCGUGAAAUCCCCGGGCUCAACCUGGGAAUGGCGCUUGUGACUGCAAAGCUAGAGUGCGGCAGAGGGGGAUGGAAUUCCGCGUGUAGCAGUGAAAUGCGUAGAUAUGCGGAGGAACACCGAUGGCGAAGGCAAUCCCCUGGGCCUGCACUGACGCUCAUGCACGAAAGCGUGGGGAGAAAAUGGGAUUAGAUACCCGCGUAGUCCCUGUCUCUUAUAC